RNAcentral lists this ribosomal RNA (150 nucleotides) under Charissa italohelveticus. RNAcentral describes it as "partial 16S ribosomal RNA". Lineage: Eukaryota; Metazoa; Arthropoda; Insecta; Lepidoptera; Geometridae. The record is from RNAcentral.
GUUGGUUUCUAUCUUUUAAAUUAUAAAAUAUUUUAGUACGAAAGGAUUGAAUAUUUUAAUUAAAUUAUAUUUUUAUUUAUGAAUUUUAUUAAAGUUAAUAAAAAUUUUUAAUUUCAUUUAAUAUAUAUAUAUAUAUAUAUAUGUAUAUAG